GAUGAACGCUGGCGGCGUGCCUAAUACAUGCAAGUCGAGCGAACGGACGAGAAGCUUGCUUCUCUGAUGUUAGCGGCGGACGGGUGAGUAACACGUGGAUAACCUACCUAUAAGACUGGGAUAACUUCGGGAAACCGGAGCUAAUACCGGAUAAUAUUUUGAACCGCAUGGUUCAAAAGUGAAAGACGGUCUUGCUGUCACUUAUAGAUGGAUCCGCGCUGCAUUAGCUAGUUGGUAAGGUAACGGCUUACCAAGGCAACGAUGCAUAGCCGACCUGAGAGGGGGAUCGGCCACACUGGAACUGAGAAACGGUCCAGACUCCUACGGGAGGCAGCAGUAGGGAAUCUUCCGCAAUGGGCGAAAGCCUGACGGAGCAACGCCGCGUGAGUGAUGAAGGUCUUCGGAUCGUAAAACUCUGUUAUUAGGGAAGAACAUAUGUGUAAGUAACUGUGCACAUCUUGACGGUACCUAAUCAGAAAGCCACGGCUAACUACGUG
Molecule: ribosomal RNA, 497 nt
Filed under: uncultured bacterium
Lineage: Bacteria
Description: partial 16S ribosomal RNA
Rfam family: Bacterial small subunit ribosomal RNA
Source: RNAcentral